RNAcentral lists this ribosomal RNA (507 nucleotides) under uncultured bacterium. RNAcentral's name for it is "partial 16S ribosomal RNA". It matches the Rfam family "Bacterial small subunit ribosomal RNA", at positions 28 to 523 of the family's 1533-position model. The record is from RNAcentral.
GAUGAACGCUAGCUACAGGCUUAACACAUGCAAGUCGAGGGGUAACGAGAGGAAAGCUUGCUUUCCUUGUUGACGACCGGCGCACGGGUGAGUAACGCGUAUCCAACCUGCCCCCAACUAGGGAAUAACCUUGCGAAAGUAAGACUAAUACCCUAUAAUUUCCUCAGAUGUCAUCUGACGAGGAAUAAAGAUUUAUCGGUUGUGGAUGGGGAUGGGUCUGAGUAGCUCUGUUGGCGGGGUAACGGCCUACCAAGGCAACGAUCAGUUGGGGUUUUGAGAGGAAGGUCCCCCCCAUUGGAACUGGGACACGGUCCAAACUCCUACGGGAGGCAGCAGUGUGGAAUAUUGGUCAAUGGGCGGAAGCCUGAACCAGCCAAGUAGCGUGCAGGAUGACGGCCCUAUGGGUUGUAAACUGCUUUUAUACAGGAAUAAAGUUAGCCACGUUUGGUUAUUUUUAGGUACUGUAUGAAUAAGGACCGGCUAAUUCCGUGCCAGCCGCCGCCGUAA